ACAAAUUGUAAAAUAACUCAAUACUUUUCAACUGACUAUCCCUAACACAGAUAGUAACACAGAUAAUAAAUAAUUUGAUGGUUGGUAUCUGAUGUCUCAAAUUCACAAUCUAGUUAUUUUAUAUUUCUCACUAAAUUUAUUUUUAAAAAAAAUUAGGAAAAAGAGUAGCAUGCAUGCUACACUUCUCCCUCUCAAAAUAAGCCGCAAACCAAUAACACUAUAUUCGGAUGCAUAGCAAAAAAAAAAAAAAUUUCACAAUUGCACAAACAUAUA
Molecule: long non-coding RNA, 273 nt
Filed under: Ananas comosus (pineapple)
Lineage: Eukaryota; Viridiplantae; Streptophyta; Magnoliopsida; Poales; Bromeliaceae
Description: long non-coding RNA (ACOM_LNC005959)
Source: RNAcentral